RNAcentral lists this unclassified non-coding RNA (314 nucleotides) under plant metagenome. RNAcentral describes it as "partial contains 5.8S ribosomal RNA, internal transcribed spacer 2, and large subunit ribosomal RNA". The stretch from base 1 to 105 matches the Rfam family "5.8S ribosomal RNA", at positions 50 to 154 of the family's 154-position model. The record is from RNAcentral.
GAAAUGCGAUAAUUAAUGUGAAUUGCAGAAUUCAGUGAAUCAUCGAGUCUUUGAACGCACAUUGCGCCCCCUGGUAUUCCGGGGGGCAUGCCUGUCCGAGCGUCAUUGCUGCCCUCAAGCACGGCUUGUGUGUUGGGCUUCCGUCCCUGGCAACGGGGACGGGCCCGAAAGGCAGUGGCGGCACCAUGUCUGGUCCUCGAGCGUAUGGGGCUUUGUCACCCGCUCCCGUAGGUCCAGCUGGCAGCUAGCCUCGCAACCAAUCUUUUUAACCAGGUUGACCUCGGAUCAGGUAGGGAUACCCGCUGAACUUAAGC